This 1306-nucleotide long non-coding RNA is filed under the name Ananas comosus (pineapple). Its description in RNAcentral is "long non-coding RNA (ACOM_LNC029336)". Lineage: Eukaryota; Viridiplantae; Streptophyta; Magnoliopsida; Poales; Bromeliaceae. The record is from RNAcentral.
UUUUCAGCCGUUAAAAAUUAUUGAUUUUGAAUCCUUUUGAUUGCUAGGUAAAUAAUAUCAAAAAAUCCCAAAAAUUAUUUUCUAGAAACUUCAAAUACGCUAGAUCAAGUCUAACGGAGCCGAUUGACGAUUCGAAAAUUCCAUCAUCGAAAAUGGCUCAGGAGCACGGAAGCCUCCGUGCUCUUGAGAGCAUAGCAGUCUUGCUCUCUCUCUCUCUAUAUAUGUAUAGAAUUAGAGUACUAUACUAUUUAUAGUACCGGAGCUCCGGUACUAUAGUCUUGUUUUCGAUCUUAGGGUAUUCAAAUUAACGAUCUACGCUGUUAAAUAUGAUCUAGGUUUUAUGAAGUUCUUAGAAAUAAAAUUUUAGUUUUUUUCGAUAUCGUUUACUGAGUAAAUAAAUUAUGUCAAAAUGGACGCUGGAAAUUGAAUAAUCUUUAAAAUUUGAGCAUAGGACUUUUAAAUUAAAGAUCAAAAAUGUUAACCUUAAUCUAGAUAGUUUAAAGUAUUUUCUAUCAAAAUUUGAAGAAAGUUAGAUUUUUCUACACCGUUAAACUCCUAACUCGCCAUAGUAGCCAUUGAAAAUUGACAAUUUUGAAUGGUUUGAUCAUAAAAUAAACUAUGUCGAAAAAAUAUAAAAUUUUAUUUCUAAAAAUUUCUAUAUCCUAGUUCAGUUUUAACGGUGUAGAUCGUUGAUUUGAACAUCCUAAGAUCGAAAACGAGACUAUAGUACCGGAGCCUCGGUACUAUAGAUAGUAUAGGAGAUUAGCUAUAUAUAUAUAUAUAUAUAUAUAUAUAUAUAUAGUAGGGCUACUAUACUCUUAUGAAUAUAAAGUUCUUCGUACUCACAAGUUGUUUUCGAUGUUGGGGCUUUCGAAUCGACGAUCCACACCGUUAAAUAUGAUCUAGAGUAUUUGAAACUUUUAGAAAAUAAAUUUCGUAAUUUUUCAAAAUUAUUAUAAAAUCCAUCAAGCAGGUAUAAAAUGAAUGGUCAAAAUUAAACGACAUCCUAAAAAUGGAUGAUCGGAUUCUUCAAUUUAAGAUCGGAGUUAUUGAUAUUUAUUUAGAUAGUGAAUAGAAUUUUCUAUCAAAAAUUCAACCGAUUCAUAUUCUUUUACACCGUUACACUAGCAAAUAUCUUAUACCGGCCGUUAAAAAUUGUCAAUUUUGUGAGCUUUUGAUUGUAAGGUAAAUUGUAUCAAAAAAUUAUAAAAUUUGAUUUCUAAGAUUUUUAAAUGCUAUAAACAAUGUUUAACGGUAUGGAUCGUCGAUUCAAAAGCUUUAUCAUCGAAAACAACUUAUAAGUACG